Molecule: long non-coding RNA, 642 nt
Organism: Physeter macrocephalus (sperm whale)
Lineage: Eukaryota; Metazoa; Chordata; Mammalia; Artiodactyla; Physeteridae
Exons: 3
Source: RefSeq, a predicted model, not a curated record
AGAAUACAACAAAUGACGAUUCUGAAAAAGAAGUUGAUGACCAGAAAAAGGGAUAGGAAGAUGACCUGUUUGCUUGAAGAGCGAGGGAUAGUAAUAUCUCAGAGAAUCUCUGAAAAAGAUCUCUAGAAAAGGCAAGGAAACAGAUUAUCCCCUAGAGCCUCCAGAAGGGUGAAGAACUACUUUUCAAAGGGUGAAACACAAGAAUGGCUUUUAGGAAUUUUCCCCCAAAGUAAUCUGUGACUGGAUCCUGUUGCCAAAACUUGGCCUCUGUUCACCGGUGCCGAAGAGAAAUGCGGAGACAGAGUUUUGGGUGAAGUAGAAAAGAGUAGCUUUUACUGCUUUGCCAGGCAGAGGGGGCCACAGCGGGCUAAUGCCCUCAAGACUGUGUGACCCACCCUGGAGGCCAUAGUGAGGAGUCUUACAGUGUUCGAGGAGCAGGGCGUGAUCAGCUCGCGGAUUGGCUGGCAUCAAGGUGAAGUUUCAAGCGUCAUCAACCUUCUGGUUUCAACCAGUCCAGGGUCCAUGUGCUUGUGGGCAGCACUUUCCAUCUGGAGGGGGUCUGCUCCCUGUAAAACCACUUAGGAGUGCGUGUCAGGCCUUUAUCUGUAGCUUCAGUGAACUGGGAGCUCGGUGAUUCUGCCA